GGCUACUUGUCCGGGACAUGUUCUGUCUUGAAAACAGGAUAGAAGUGUUCAACUCACUUAGUAGCU
This 66-nucleotide transfer RNA is filed under the name Tectus virgatus. Its description in RNAcentral is "tRNA-Ser". Lineage: Eukaryota; Metazoa; Mollusca; Gastropoda; Trochida; Tegulidae. The record is from RNAcentral.